GAUGAAAACGUAGCGAAAUGCGAUACUUGGUGUGAAUUGCAGAAUCCCGCGAAUCAUCGAGUUUUUGAACGCAAGUUGCGCCCGAAGCCAUUCGGCCGAGGGCACGUCUGCCUGGGUGUCACGCAUCGUUGCCCCCCCAAACUCCGGUUUGGGCGGGGCGGAAGUUGGCCUCCCGUGCGUGCCUGCGCGCGCGGUUAGCCCAAAAGCGAGUCCUCGGCGACGAGCGCCACGACAAUCGGUGGUUUUUUUACCCUCGUUCCUCGUCGUGCGUGUCCCGUCGCCCGAACGCGCUCUUGUGACCCUCACGCGUCGCCUCAGUGGCGCUCCCAACGCGACCCCAGGUCAGGCGGGACUACCCGCUGAGUUUAAGCAUAUCAAUAAGCGGAGGA
Molecule: unclassified non-coding RNA, 389 nt
Filed under: soil metagenome
Description: partial contains 5.8S ribosomal RNA, internal transcribed spacer 2, and large subunit ribosomal RNA
Rfam family: 5.8S ribosomal RNA (bases 1-121)
Source: RNAcentral